Molecule: long non-coding RNA, 193 nt
Organism: Labeo rohita (rohu)
Lineage: Eukaryota; Metazoa; Chordata; Actinopteri; Cypriniformes; Cyprinidae
Exons: 3
Source: RefSeq, a predicted model, not a curated record
GAAGAACAAAAAGUCACACCUGAGAAUUAUGAUGAUGUUGUCACUGUUGGACUGAGGCAUUAUCACAAUGCUGUACCUGAAAACUAUGAUGAUGUCAUCAUUGUACCACAGUUCUGCAGUGAUAAUGCAGAGGGUGGUCAGGAGGAGUAUGAUAAUCUGAAGAAGGUCAGGGAAUAUAUGAGUGACAUUUUUG